AGGACGAACGCUGGCGGCGUGCUUAACACAUGCAAGUCGAGCGGAAAGGCCCUUCGGGGUACUCGAGCGGCGAACGGGUGAGUAACACGUGAGCAACCUGCCCCUGGCUCUGGGAUAGCCUCCGGAAACGGGGAUUAAUACCGGAUAUUCACUGUCUCCUGCAUGGGGGGUGGUGGAAAGUUUUCGGCUAGGGCGGGGCUCGCGGCCUAUCAGCUUGUUGGGGGGUGACGGCCCACCAAGGCGACGACGGGUAG
Molecule: ribosomal RNA, 254 nt
Filed under: uncultured bacterium
Lineage: Bacteria
Description: partial small subunit ribosomal RNA
Rfam family: Bacterial small subunit ribosomal RNA
Source: RNAcentral